AGGAUUGACAGAUUGAGAGCUCUUUCUUGAUUCUGUGGGUGGUGGUGCAUGGCCGUUCUUAGUUGGUGGAGCGAUUUGUCUGGUUAAUUCCGAUAACGAACGAGACUCUGGCUUGCUAAAUAGUUACGCGACCGACUCGGUCGGCGUCAAACUUCUUAGAGGGACUAGUGGCGUAUAGCCACACGAGAUUGAGCAAUAACAGGUCUGUGAUGCCCUUAGAUGUUCGGGGCCGCACGCGCGCUACACUGACCGGAUCAGCGAGUGCUCGCCUUGGCCGACAGGCCUGGGUAACCCGUUGAACCCCGGUCGUGAUAGGGAUAGGGAAUUGCAAUUGUUUCCCUUGAACGAGGAAUUCCCAGUAAGCGCGAGUCAUUAGCUCGCGUUGAUUACGUCCCUGCCCUUUGUAAAA
Molecule: ribosomal RNA, 409 nt
Filed under: Pyrosomata sp. 208_UnivF-1183
Lineage: Eukaryota; Metazoa; Chordata; Thaliacea; Pyrosomata
Description: SSU rRNA
Rfam family: Eukaryotic small subunit ribosomal RNA
Source: RNAcentral